UACGUAGGGUGCAAGCGUUUGUCCGGAAUUAUUGGGCGUAAAGAGCUCGUAGGCGGUUUGUUGCGUCGGCUGUGAAAUCCCGAGGCUCAACCUCGGGUCUGCAGUCGAUACGAGCAAACUAGAGUGUUGCAGGGGGAGACUGGAAUUCCUGGUGUAGCGGUGAAAUGCGCAGAUAUCAGGAGGAACACCGGUGGCGAAGGCGGGGUCUCUGGGCAACAACUGACGCUGGAGGAGCGAAA
RNAcentral lists this ribosomal RNA (239 nucleotides) under uncultured bacterium. RNAcentral describes it as "partial 16S ribosomal RNA". It matches the Rfam family "Bacterial small subunit ribosomal RNA", at positions 524 to 758 of the family's 1533-position model. The record is from RNAcentral.